UACGUAGGGUGCAAGCGUUAAUCGGAAUUACUGGGCGUAAAGCGUGCGCAGGCGGUUUUGUAAGUCAGAUGUGAAAUCCCCGGGCUUAACCUGGGAACUGCGUUUGAAACUACAAGGCUAGAGUGUGGCAGAGGGGGGUGGAAUUCCACGUGUAGCAGUGAAAUGCGUAGAUAUUGGGAAGAACACCGGUGGCGAAGGCG
Molecule: ribosomal RNA, 200 nt
Filed under: uncultured bacterium
Lineage: Bacteria
Description: partial 16S ribosomal RNA
Rfam family: Bacterial small subunit ribosomal RNA
Source: RNAcentral